UGUUUAAAUAGCCUGUGGGAUUCCUC
This 26-nucleotide non-coding RNA is filed under the name Rattus norvegicus (Norway rat). The record is from RNAcentral. Lineage: Eukaryota; Metazoa; Chordata; Mammalia; Rodentia; Muridae.